This 679-nucleotide long non-coding RNA is filed under the name Salmo salar (Atlantic salmon). Its description in RNAcentral is "lncRNA (ENSSSAG00000106829.1)". The record is from RNAcentral. Lineage: Eukaryota; Metazoa; Chordata; Actinopteri; Salmoniformes; Salmonidae.
GAAAGAUAAGAACAGUUGACUGUUUUCAACAAGCAAUUACAAAUGUACAAGGAGCUGGAUUUGCUAGUGUACCACUUGUGCUUUGAUGCACAACUUUGCAGGGAAACCAUCAGUGGCCAUGGAAGAAGUGCAGGCAGGGUACUUCUUCUCCUUCUCUCCAGCUGUCUCUGCAGGAAUGAACAGAGAGCCAAACUGAUUCCAUUGGAAUACAUCUGUCUGAAGACAGACUCUCUUGUCUUGGGACCAGAAAAACAUGUGGGUUAUCAUCAUUUGGAAUGCAACAUUAUGGAAAGCAGCAACCUGGUUGUUUUGAAUCGUUAAACGUAUUAUGUAUCUCCCCUCUCCAGUAAAGGAAUGAACCUAAGAACACACUGCUUGUCUGUGAGUACAUUGCUCAAGUCAAAGGAAUCACACCUGGUUAUUCAUGCCACCACAGAGAAUGCCCUCCGAUUGUUCCAUGGGUCACACACGUCACACUAAAUGUAUAGGUGUCACGGUUGUCGUAGGGUAAAGUGGACCAAGACGCAGCGGGGAAAUGUGUACUCAUCUUCUUUAUUAAAUGGGCAAAGAAGGUGAACCAAAACAAACACGUACACAACAAAAACACAACGACUAAUAACAGGCCGGUAAGGCAACAAAGCUAUACCCAGCACAAUCUCCCACAAAUACUAAAACAAAC